AUACGGAGGGGGUUAGCGUUGUUCGGAAUUACUGGGCGUAAAGCGUACGUAGGCGGACUGGAAAGUUGAGGGUGAAAUCCCGGGGCUCAACCCCGGAACUGCCUCCAAAACUUCCAAUCUAGAGAUCGAGAGAGGUGAGUGGAAUUCCAAGUGUAGAGGUGAAAUUCGUAGAUAUUUGGAGGAACACCAGUGGCGAAGGCGGCUCACUGGCUCGAUACUGACGCUGAGGUACGAAAGCGUGGGGAGCAAACAGAAGUAGAAACCCCAGUAGUCC
This 274-nucleotide ribosomal RNA is filed under the name uncultured bacterium. RNAcentral describes it as "partial 16S ribosomal RNA". It matches the Rfam family "Bacterial small subunit ribosomal RNA", at positions 523 to 796 of the family's 1533-position model. The record is from RNAcentral.